CUACGGGAUGCUCCAGUGAGGAAUAUUGCACAAUGGGGGAAACCCUGAUGCAGCAACGCCGCGUGGAGGAUGACGCAUUUCGGUGUGUAAACUCCUUUUAUCAGAGAAGAAAAUGACGGUAUCUGAUGAAUAAGCUCCGGCUAACUCCGUGCCAGCAGGCCGCGGUAAUAGGGAGGGAGCAAGCGUUAUUCGGAAUCACUGGGCGUAAAGGACGCGUAGGCGGGUUUUUAAGUCAGGUGUGAAAUCCUAUGGCUCAACCAUAGAACUGCACUUGAAACUGGGGACCUAGAGUAUGGAAGGGGCAGGUGGAAUUAGUGGUGUAGGGGUAAAAUCCGUAGAUAUCACUAGGAAUACCGAAAGCGAAGGCGACCUGCUGGGACAUUACUGACGCUGAGGCGUGAAAGCGUGGGGAGCAAACAGGAUUAGAUACCCUCGUAGUC
Molecule: ribosomal RNA, 440 nt
Filed under: uncultured bacterium
Lineage: Bacteria
Description: partial 16S ribosomal RNA
Rfam family: Bacterial small subunit ribosomal RNA
Source: RNAcentral